RNAcentral lists this ribosomal RNA (506 nucleotides) under uncultured bacterium. RNAcentral describes it as "partial 16S ribosomal RNA". It matches the Rfam family "Bacterial small subunit ribosomal RNA", at positions 29 to 523 of the family's 1533-position model. The record is from RNAcentral.
AGUGAACGCUGGCGGUAGGCCUAGCACAUGCAAGUCGAACGGCAGCACAGGAGAGCUUGCUCGCUGGGUGGCGAGUGGCGGACGGGUGAGGAAUACAUCGGAAUCUACUCUGUCGUGGGGGAUAACGUAGGGAAACUUACGCUAAUACCGCAUACGACCUACGGGUGAAAGCAGGGGACCUUCGGGCCUUGCGCGAUUGAAUGAGCCGAUGUCGGAUUAGCUAGUUGGCGGGGUAAAGGCCCACCAAGGCGACGCUCCGUAGCUGGUCUGAGAGGAUGAUGAGCCACACUGGAACUGAAACACUAUCGAGACUCCGACGGAGGGCAGCAGUGGGGAAUAUUGGUCAAUGGGCGCAAGCCUGAUCCAGCCAUUCCGCGUGGGUGAAGAAGCACUUCGGCUUGUAAAGCCCUUUUGUUGGGAAAGAAAUCCAGCUGUCUAAUACCGGGUUUGGAUGACGGUACCCAAAGAAUAAGCACCGGAUAACUUCGUGCCAGCAGCCGCCGUAA